UAUACAAGGUGCUGCAUGGUUGUCGUCAGCUCGUGCCGUGAGGUGUCGGGUUAAGUCCCAUAACGAAGCGCAACCCUACUCAUUAGUUGCCAUCAGGUCAAGCUGGGGACUCUAAUGAAACUGCCUACGCAAGUAGUGAGGAAGGUGGGGAUGACGUCAAAUCAGCACGGCCCUUACGUCCAGGGCUACACACGUGCUACAAUGGCCGGUACAAAGGGCAGCUACCUGGUGACAGGAUGCUAAUCUCAAAAGCCGGUCUCAGUUCGGAUCGGAGUCUGCAACCCGACUCCGUGAAGCUGGAAUCGCUAGUAAUCGUGGAUCAGCAUGCCACGGUGAAUACGUUCCCGGGCCUU
This 353-nucleotide ribosomal RNA is filed under the name uncultured Sphingobacteriales bacterium. RNAcentral describes it as "bacterial SSU rRNA". It matches the Rfam family "Bacterial small subunit ribosomal RNA", at positions 1030 to 1382 of the family's 1533-position model. The record is from RNAcentral. Lineage: Bacteria; Pseudomonadati; Bacteroidota; Sphingobacteriia; Sphingobacteriales.